Molecule: non-coding RNA, 550 nt
Organism: Zootoca vivipara (common lizard)
Lineage: Eukaryota; Metazoa; Chordata; Lepidosauria; Squamata; Lacertidae
Source: RefSeq, a predicted model, not a curated record
GAAAAUGCAUGGAAAACCUUUGAAGAGCACCUAUGUAUACAAGUAGCCUCUCCAGAUCAUUCCAAAUUCCAACUGGUUCAGCAUUCUGUUUUCACUCCAUUCAGAGAAGGAGCUUAUGUUCAUGGAAGGAGAAAGAUUUCAACAGAAUGCUUACCAUAGGGCAGGUGGUAGAAGAAAGCCCUGUUGGGGGAGAGGUGACGGUGCAACUGAAGCAGGAGCAUGUGCCUAGUGGCCUCAGCCUAUGUGGGAAUUUUCUAUAUUCCGGUCAUUAUUAGAAGAAGCCGCUUAUGCUUCCUGUAGCGCUGAUGAGAGAAUCAUUUGAGUUUGGCAUGACAGACUGAGGCAUCAAAAGAAGAAAUGGUUUCAUUUACUCUGAUUUAGUAAGUCUCUUUUGUUAUGCCUCUCUUAUAGAUGCCUGUCUUUGGCUACCAAGGAAAACAUGCAGGGAGGGGAAACAGGGAGCAGAGCCUAAAGCUCAUGAAGAAUUUGCAUAUUGAAGAUGAGAAGAAAGAAAGAAAGAAAGAAAGAAAGAAAGAAAGAAAGAAAGAAA